AGGGAAUCUUCCGCAAUGGACGAAAGUCUGACGGAGCAACGCCGCGUGAGUGAUGAAGGCCUUCGGGUCGUAAAACUCUGUUGUUAGGGAAGAACAAGUAUCGGAGUAACUGCCGGUACCUUGACGGUACCUAACCAGAAAGCCACGGCUAACUACGUGCCAGCAGCCGCGGUAAUACGUAGGUGGCAAGCGUUGUCCGGAAUUAUUGGGCGUAAAGCGCGCGCAGGCGGCUGUUUAAGUCUGGUGUUUAAUCCUGGGGCUCAACCCCGGGUCGCACUGGAAACUGGACGGCUUGAGUGCAGAAGAGGAGAGUGGAAUUCCACGUGUAGCGGUGAAAUGCGUAGAGAUGUGGAGGAACACCAGUGGCGAAGGCGGCUUUCUGGUCUGUAACUGACGCUGAGGCGCGAAAGCGUGGGGAGCAAAC
This 424-nucleotide ribosomal RNA is filed under the name uncultured bacterium. RNAcentral describes it as "bacterial SSU rRNA". It matches the Rfam family "Bacterial small subunit ribosomal RNA", at positions 356 to 773 of the family's 1533-position model. The record is from RNAcentral.